Molecule: ribosomal RNA, 798 nt
Filed under: Triticum aestivum (bread wheat)
Lineage: Eukaryota; Viridiplantae; Streptophyta; Magnoliopsida; Poales; Poaceae
Description: partial small subunit ribosomal RNA
Source: RNAcentral
AUGCAGAAUCGAGUACAUCCUGCCGGAGCCUCGUCCUCUGCCUCCAGCGGCGGAGACGGCUCUGGUUCAGGCUUCUGCCUCAGUGAUAUAAUGGAAAUCGAAGCUGGCAGCGGGGGAGACCACAAAGCACCGGGCUCCCCGAGGUCCAAGCAUUCCGCUACCGAGCAGAGACGUCGCUGCAAAAUCAAUGAGAGAUUUCAGAUACUCCGUGAUCUUGUACCACAAAGUGACCAGAAGAGAGAUAAGGCCACAUUCCUUUUGGAGGUGAUUGAAUAUGUCAAAUUCUUACAAGAAAAGGUACAAAACCAUGAAGCAUGUGCUGGUGGAGACUGGAACCAAGAAAAUACAAAAUUGGCGCCUUGGAGUAGCAACCGAGUACCAGUUGACCUCAUGCCAGGUGUAGCAGCACCCACAACAAAAAAUUGCUCUGCUGGGAACUUUCUGGACAACAGUAUCCCCACCAUGCCAGAAAUGCUGCAAAAUGCUGAAACGGUAGUAGAACCAGCCAAGUUAAAUGCAGAUAUUAUAGAAUCACAGUACCAGUCCCAAUGGCAAGAUUGCCUUGUGGACAGUGAAAUGAGCAAUGAAAAAGAAGAAUUGACUAUAGAUGAGGGUACCAUAACUGUUUCCAGCGUGUACUCCCAAAACCUAUUUACGGCUUUGACUAAUGCAAUGGAAAAUUUGGGCAUCGAUUUGUCACAAGCCAGUGUCACCGUGCACGUCAAUCUGGGCAGGAGAGCAAUUUCCAGGUCUAAUAAUAUAUCCAGUGCAAAGAAAGACAUGCCAGCCGCAAACUAA